AAAGUACAGAUGUUUUGGGACCCCUGUCCCUUUAUCAAGGGCUUUUAUCAUUGAUAAAGGGACAGGGGUCCCGAAACAUCUGUACUUU
Non-coding RNA from Pelobates cultripes (western spadefoot toad), 88 nucleotides. The record is from the annotation of a GenBank genome assembly. Lineage: Eukaryota; Metazoa; Chordata; Amphibia; Anura; Pelobatidae.